RNAcentral lists this ribosomal RNA (169 nucleotides) under Hysterangiales sp. Its description in RNAcentral is "partial large subunit ribosomal RNA". It matches the Rfam family "Eukaryotic large subunit ribosomal RNA", at positions 99 to 261 of the family's 3401-position model. The record is from RNAcentral. Lineage: Eukaryota; Fungi; Basidiomycota; Agaricomycetes; Hysterangiales.
CGGGAAGAGCUCAAAUUUAAAAUCUGGUCGUCUUCGGCGGCCCGAGUUGUAGUUUAGAGAAGCGUUUUCUGUGCCGGACCACGUACAAGUCCCUUGGAAUCGGGCGUCGUGGAGGGUGAGAACCCCGUCUCUGACGUGGAACACCGGUGCUCUGUGAUGCGCUCUCGAA